GUGCCAGCAGCCGCGGUAAUACGAAGGGGGCUAGCGUUGCUCGGAAUCACUGGGCGUAAAGGGCGCGUAGGCGGCCAUUCAAGUCGGGGGUGAAAGCCUGUGGCUCAACCACAGAAUUGCCUUCGAUACUGUUUGGCUUGAGUAUGGUAGAGGUCAGUGGAACUGCGAGUGUAGAGGUGAAAUUCGUAGAUAUUCGCAAGAACACCAGUGGCGAAGGCGGCUGACUGGACCAUUACUGACGCUGAGGCGCGAAAGCGUGGGGAGCAAACAGGAUUAGAUACCCCGGUAGUCC
This 292-nucleotide ribosomal RNA is filed under the name uncultured bacterium. RNAcentral's name for it is "partial 16S ribosomal RNA". It matches the Rfam family "Bacterial small subunit ribosomal RNA", at positions 505 to 796 of the family's 1533-position model. The record is from RNAcentral.